Molecule: ribosomal RNA, 415 nt
Filed under: Acanthamoeba castellanii
Lineage: Eukaryota; Discosea; Longamoebia; Acanthamoebidae
Description: SSU rRNA
Rfam family: Eukaryotic small subunit ribosomal RNA
Source: RNAcentral
UUUUCUGCCACCGAAUACAUUAGCAUGGGAUAAUGGAAUAGGACCCUGUCCUCCUAUUUUCAGUUGGUUUUGGCAGCGCGAGGACUAGGGUAAUGAUUAAUAGGGAUAGUUGGGGGCAUUAAUAUUUAAUUGUCAGAGGUGAAAUUCUUGGAUUUAUGAAAGAUUAACUUCUGCGAAAGCAUCUGCCAAGGAUGUUUUCAUUAAUCAAGAACGAAAGUUAGGGGAUCGAAGACGAUCAGAUACCGUCGUAGUCUUAACCAUAAACGAUGCCGACCAGCGAUUAGGAGACGUUGAAUACAAAACACCACCAUCGGCUGCGGUCGUCCUUGGCGUCGGUCUUUCAACUGGGGGGCCGGCGCGGGGGCGGCUUAGCCCGGUGGCACCGGUGAAUGACUCCCCUAGCAGCUUGUGAGAA